This 484-nucleotide ribosomal RNA is filed under the name uncultured bacterium. RNAcentral describes it as "partial 16S ribosomal RNA". It matches the Rfam family "Bacterial small subunit ribosomal RNA", at positions 899 to 1397 of the family's 1533-position model. The record is from RNAcentral.
ACUCAAAGGAAUUGACGGGGACCCACACAAGCGGUGGAGCGUGGGGUUUAAUUCGAUGAUAAGCGGAGAACCUCACCCAGGCUUGACAUCUCAGAAACUCUCCAGAAAUGGAGUGGUGCCGCAAGGAAUCUGAUGACAGGUGAUGCACGGUCGUCGUCAGCUCGUGCCUUGAGGUGUACUGUUAAGUCAGCAAACGAGCGCAACCCUCAUCUUAUGUUGUAAUUUCAUAAGAGACUGCCGCCUCCAAGGCGGAGGAAGGUGGGGAUGACGUCAGAUCUGCGUGUCCCUUAUGCCUGGGGCUACACCCGCGCUACAAUGGCCGGUACAGAGGGCAGCGAACUCGCAAGAGUUAGCAAAUCCCACAAAACCGGUCUCAGUUCGGAUUGAAGUCUGAAACCCGACUUCAUGAAGUUGGAAUCGCUAGUAACCGUAAAUCAGCCACGUUACGGUGAAUAUGUUCCUGGGUCUUGUACACACCGCCCGU